This 566-nucleotide long non-coding RNA is filed under the name Equus caballus (horse). RNAcentral's name for it is "lncRNA (ENSECAG00000052091.1)". The record is from RNAcentral. Lineage: Eukaryota; Metazoa; Chordata; Mammalia; Perissodactyla; Equidae.
AGAGGGCGGAAGUCACGAGGAAGGAGAUUUGGGCUCGACUUGAGGAAGAACUCCAUCCGCAGAGCUGUCAAAAACAGAAGGAGCUACCCGGGGAGCUUCAAUCAGGCAGAGGACCAUGAGGGCCUAGAGGCUGGCAGAGCAAUGAGUGGAAGGAACCUGGGUUUCUGAACGACCACGAGGAGAGAGCUUCCCACUCACCUGGACUGCUCAUCUCAGAAUUGCUACAUGAGCGAAAAAGAAACUGAUAUCCUUUCCACUGCUGCGUUCUGGAAUCUCCUUGUCAGCCUGCUCUACCAAAUACACUGAGGCUUUUGGAAAGAGUAAGAGUGGAAACAGGACUUUUUUCAUGGAACAUCUCCUGUGUCCUCAGUCCUGUGCCAGCCUCUCUAUCUUUGAAGGGAAACCAUUCAUCUUCUGCUCAUAAUCUAUGUGGCCACAGAGAAUUGUCACCAUCCUUUGUCUCCAAGGUUUAUACGUGGGACGCCUACCACAGCGUGGCUGCCAAGCAGUGCCAUGUCCGCACCCGGGAUCCGAACCAGCGAACCCCGGGCCACCGAGAAGCAGAA